Long non-coding RNA from Sinocyclocheilus grahami, 516 nucleotides. RefSeq lists it as uncharacterized. The record is from RefSeq and is a predicted model, not a curated record. The transcript is spliced from 4 exons. NCBI's taxonomy places the organism in Eukaryota, Metazoa, Chordata, Actinopteri, Cypriniformes, Cyprinidae.
GCAUUGCAAUGGCCUCCAAACAUAAACUUGACUCACAGGAUCCCAACUACUAAGAGGGGAGACGCAUGGCUCAUGAACUGAAACUAGACCGUUUUCUAGCUGAAGCCAGGACUGCAGCUGUGGAGAGAAAACGUGCACGCUCUGUAGGAGACCCACCACAGACCUCUAAAAGGGAGUUUUUAGGACAUGGCAAGCCGAGGGUGAGGCAAGGAGGGCGACACCAAGCUUCAGCUACAGUCAUACACACCCCGGUUGAAUGCUCCCUUUCAUCCAGUGUGGAGGUUCCACUUACUGUACCCUCAGCAGAACUAAAUCCUCACGAGCAAUUUGAAAAAAAUAUGGAGAGGUUCUCCGAUAUUUUGACAUCUUAUCCUUCUGCUGAGCCUCAGAAAAGCUCUGCAUCAUCAUGGUCUUUUCGGCAGCAGAAAUCCUCAGAGCGCUGGAAAGAAGCAAGUCCAUACCACCUAAAAUGCCUUAUUGCAUAAGAGGCUGUUGGUCAGCCUUUGUGUUGGCUUU